RNAcentral lists this ribosomal RNA (253 nucleotides) under uncultured bacterium. Its description in RNAcentral is "partial 16S ribosomal RNA". It matches the Rfam family "Bacterial small subunit ribosomal RNA", at positions 524 to 776 of the family's 1533-position model. The record is from RNAcentral.
GACGUAGGUUGCGAGCGUUAUUCGGAUUCACUAGGCGUAAAGCGUGUGUAGGCGGAUGCCUAAGUCUGACGUGAAAUCUCCCGGCUUAACUGGGAGGGGUCGUUAGAUACUGGGCGUCUUGAGUUGGGUAGGGGGAACCGGAAUUCCAGGUGCAGCGGUGAAAUGCGCGGAUAUCUGGAGGAACACCGGCGGCGAAGGCGGGUUCCUGGGCCUUAACUGACGCUGAGACACGAAAGCUAGGGGAGCAAACAGG